RNAcentral lists this unclassified non-coding RNA (244 nucleotides) under Hevea brasiliensis (rubber tree). Lineage: Eukaryota; Viridiplantae; Streptophyta; Magnoliopsida; Malpighiales; Euphorbiaceae. The record is from RNAcentral.
CAGCCUUCAUCAUCAUCAUCAUCAUCAUCAUCUUUGCCAUCGUCCUUUGGCCUCAGGAAAAGCAGAGAGUAGCGAAGAAAGGAGAAGGGAAUUUAAUCUUUCGACGGGAUUUGAUUCAAUUAAGUAAUAAAAGAAUUUGUAUUUUCUCUUAUUGCUCAAAAGAAGUCGAAGUCACAGCGGAUCUGAUCAGUGAUCAGGACUCGUUUCUAUUUAACCAAAAAAAAAAAUUGAAAAACUCCUAGCC